This 571-nucleotide ribosomal RNA is filed under the name uncultured bacterium. RNAcentral's name for it is "bacterial SSU rRNA". It matches the Rfam family "Bacterial small subunit ribosomal RNA", at positions 915 to 1485 of the family's 1533-position model. The record is from RNAcentral.
GGGGGCCCGCACAAGCGGUGGAGCAUGUGGUUUAAUUCGACGCAACGCGCAGAACCUUACCAGCCCUUGACAUGUCUAUGACCGGUACCAGAGAUGGAACCUUCCCUUCGGGGCAUAGAGCACAGGUGCUGCAUGGCUGUCGUCAGCUCGUGUCGUGAGAUGUUGGGUUAAGUCCCGCAACGAGCGCAACCCCCGUCCUUAGUUGCUACCGUUAAGGUGGGCACUCUAAGGAGACUGCCGGUGACAAACCGGAGGAAGGUGGGGAUGACGUCAAGUCAUCAUGGCCCUCACGGCCUGGGCUACACACGUGCUACAAUGGUCGGUACAGAGGGUUGCCAAGCCGCGAGGUGGAGCUAAUCCCAGAAAACCGAUCGUAGUCCGGAUCGCAGUCUGCAACUCGACUGCGUGAAGUCGGAAUCGCUAGUAAUCGCGAAUCAGAAUGUCGCGGUGAAUACGUUCCCGGGCCUUGUACACACCGCCCGUCACACCAUGGGAGUGGGUUGCACCAGAAGUAGCUAGUCUAACCUUCGGGAGGACGGUUACCACGGUGUGAUUCAUGACUGGGGUGAAG